Molecule: unclassified non-coding RNA, 989 nt
Filed under: Hevea brasiliensis (rubber tree)
Lineage: Eukaryota; Viridiplantae; Streptophyta; Magnoliopsida; Malpighiales; Euphorbiaceae
Source: RNAcentral
AUUGCUAAAUUGCUCCACCAACUGAACAUGUAAAAACACAAGGAGUAAGUGAAAGCAUCCCAAGGCUCAGAAAUCACACACUGAAGCAACCAAAACCAGGAAUAAAGAGAAAGUAAGGCAGGAAACAGCAAGCUUUGGAAAAUAUGAAUUGAUAACUGAAAGCUGUCGGUUGGACAUCAUGUGCAAUACAAUGGGCCACCGGUAAAUGAUCCACAACAUUUUAACAGAAAGACACAACCUCUGGUGACAUAAUUUGAGAAAUUGAUCAUAGGGAAUACAUGUCAUUCUCAAGUUGAAAAACCUUAGAUCUGAAUCUAGCAUGAAUGACUUGUUAAGCAGUUCAUCAAAUGAUACAAGUCUUGAAUAUUUGCACAACCAUUUUUGACAAUCCUUUGCUCCAACAACAUCUAGUGUUAAUGAAAUAGUGUGAUAUCUUGCACUGGGUAAUCCUUUUAAAAGGGGGAACACUUUAAUAUUUCAUUCGUACAUCAUCAGAAUAAUUUUUGGAAACAUCACAUAAAUUAGGCAGCCUUAUCCAGUAAAUAAUUUGCUGUAAGUAGCAUUCCCAAACAUAAGAGUGACAUCCUCCAUCCAAAGCCAUUGAAGUUGCCUAAAAUAAUAGCAUCUAAAAAUGAGGAGAUUGAAGAGAUGGACUCAAGAAUUUAAAUUCUUCCAAAUGUCCCAUGGAGCAAUAAGUGUCCCUUUCUAUAAAGUGAAAUAGCCAUCAAAGAAACUGAUGUAAUCAAGCAGAAAGCCAGUAAGAAAGUUUUCCAUCACAAUCAACCCCCAUCUGAAUUAUGUGGACAAUGAUUAAGGAUAUGCAACAAGUUUGAACACAACUGAAUUGAAAUACUUCAGAUAUUUGAAUUAUUAAGUGAUUCAGUAAUGAAGAGGUUGAGGUGGUUUUUGCAAGCUGUGAGACCAAGACAAUUCAAAUCACUAGAAAUACGAAUUUGAAGAAGGCAACUAACCUCUGCAUGGAGUUUCUC